GCUCAGAUUGAACGCUGGCGGCAUGCCUAACACAUGCAAGUCGAACGGCAGCGCGGAGAAGCUUCGGCUUCUCUGGCGGCGAGUGGCGGACGGGUGAGUAAUGCAUGGGAAUCUGCCCUUUGGUGGGGGAUAACCCGGAGAAAUCCGGGCUAAUACCGCAUACGCUCUACGGAGGAAAGUGGGGGACCGCAAGGCCUCACGCGAUGGAAUGAGCCGAUGUCCGAUUAGCUAGUUGGCGGGGUAAAGGCCUACCAAGGCGACGAUCCGUAGCUGGUCUGAGAGGAUGAUCAGCCACACUGGGACUGAGACACGGCCCAGACUCCUACGGGAGGCAGCAGUGGGGAAUCUUGGACAAUGGGGGAAACCCUGAUCCAGCCAUGCCGCGUGUGUGAAGAAGGCCUUCGGUAUGUAAAGCACUUUCAGCGGGGAGGAAGGCUUCUGGCUAAUACCC
This 451-nucleotide ribosomal RNA is filed under the name uncultured bacterium. RNAcentral's name for it is "bacterial SSU rRNA". It matches the Rfam family "Bacterial small subunit ribosomal RNA", at positions 22 to 480 of the family's 1533-position model. The record is from RNAcentral.